AAAAAACAAAAACAAAAACUUGGAAGUACAUUACUUUAGAGCUUCAUAAUGCCUGUAUGUCAACAAAAAUAAGUCCAUUCAGUGGAAAAUGCCAUCAUAGUUAUAAUUUUCUUAUAGAGAACACUAGCAGUUGUCAUUUGAUGUCUCCAAAUACUGUUCAUACCAUAAGCAGCAACUCUGUGAAAUUUCCAUCAACAAAAAGGUAUGUAUAUAGAUGGAAAGAAUCAUUUAAAAAAUAGAUUCUCAAGGCCACUCGGAUUCAGAUAGUCUCUAAAGAGGCUGGUUAAGAAAUCAAAGAAGUUCAUGGGAUUCUUUCUCUAUUCUAGUGUCUAAUAUUUACCUGCAGGCAUAUAUGAAAUAAUUCUUGAAUAGCUAUGGCUACUUAAAAUUUACAGAAUUGAACCUGUGCAAAGAGUAGUUGAUCUCAAACUGACACAAACCAGAUAGUCUCUUAAUGUUACUCUAAGGAAUUUUAAACUGACUCUGUUAAAGCUGAGCUUAUUUGCCUUGGGGAUGCCUAAUGGAAAAGUUAUUAUAACACUGGCCACAAAUAGGGGCCUUGAGAGAGUCAGGCCAUAGCACUCCACUGACAGCUGACACACUGGACCAUUGCCACGUCACAGAGAGCUCCAAGGUCAAAGGCCAUAUCUCUCCCUUAAUAUUUAAAUAAAGAUACUUGACAAGAGCAAACAACACCUUAUUGCCAGUGAUGGCUGUUGCUCAAUUUAUAAGAACCUUUACAAAGUCAUGCUAAUUCUUGGCCUUCUUAGAAUGCAUGGUAACAUUUCAUAAAUCCAUCUUCUUCAGAUGUCCUUGGAAAUGACAGUUAUAAAACUACAAAUGAUUUGUAAUGCAAAAUGGGACUGGCAGACUUUAAAGAUUAGGGAUCUAUGUACUAAAAUGACUGUGGUUUUAGCUAACAAAAGGCAUAAAGUGCAUCAAUAAAUAGCUGAUGAAGUAACUCAAAAUUGUUUUAAAUACUCUUAGUAAAUGCCAGGACAACA
RNAcentral lists this long non-coding RNA (1004 nucleotides) under Bos grunniens (domestic yak). RNAcentral's name for it is "lncRNA (ENSBGRG00000002043.1)". Lineage: Eukaryota; Metazoa; Chordata; Mammalia; Artiodactyla; Bovidae. The record is from RNAcentral.